Non-coding RNA from Lolium perenne, 994 nucleotides. NCBI's taxonomy places the organism in Eukaryota, Viridiplantae, Streptophyta, Magnoliopsida, Poales, Poaceae. The record is from RefSeq and is a predicted model, not a curated record.
CUCUCACCAUCCCUGUAUAUUUUGCUAUGUAUCUGGGUAUCCGUACUGACAGCUCAAUCUCAAUCUUUAUCCCGAUGAUAAAUAUUUUCGUGUAUGUAGGUUAAAUGCAAAGGCACGCACUCAGUCUUCCUUACUGAAAGAUGUGCUGCAUCGAGGCCAUCAGUGGAGAAUCCACGAACCAAUCUAUAUGAACUGGAUUUUAUCAUUGUUGAAUGCGAGAUACUUCCCAGACAGAUACAUGUCCCUUAGGAAGCGUGAGAACAACAGAACAUUGCCAGUAUGUACAUGUCAUGGCAUCUUCCUUGAAGAAUUUUACUACUUCAAUGCUGGCAAGCAAUAUGCGACAUGAUCUUUAUACAUUUGUCAUUACAAAUUUAUCAAGAAAGGUAUUAUUGCACUCAUCCUGGAGACCAAGAUACAAAAUGUCAAGCAGCAAGCUUAUCAUUUGUGUAAGCUAGCACUUACGGAAAAGGUAUCUGUGGUAUGUCUUUUGCAUAGGCCAACACACAGUACAAUAUGAAAAGCUCAUUCGUUUUGCUAUUUCUUGAGAAAUCAUUUGUAUUCCUUAAAGAAUCAUAGAGAAAAGUGAUUAUGCAGAUUGGUUGUAACUGAUUCUGAUCAGCCAUUUUCUCCUAUGCUAUAGGCUAAAUGUCCACCUGGAAAAGGAAUUAUAGAGACUGAAACAGGAGCCCUUAAAAAGGGGGAAAAGAGGUCUGCGGCAUGGCUCUGCAAAGAGACAUACAUGGAUACUCAGGAAAGCAUGUAAAUAAAGAGUUGACACACAAAUAAUAUUUUUAAUUAUGCCAUAUAUUGAGGAAUACAGGCACAUGUUUCCAGUACUGAAACUCACUGUUGAUUUUAUGAUAUAUCGAAUUUGUUGUUAGCGAAGAUGGUUACUUUGGUACAUGAUCUCAUAACACCUUAAGGCAUUUAUAAAUGUAUUAUAGUAUCUAUUUGUAACAAAAAACUAUUUCUUGCGGUUUACUAUUAUUAC